This 73-nucleotide transfer RNA is filed under the name Strongylocentrotus purpuratus (purple sea urchin). It matches the Rfam family "tRNA". From Rfam's summary of the family: Transfer RNA (tRNA) molecules are approximately 80 nucleotides in length. Lineage: Eukaryota; Metazoa; Echinodermata; Echinoidea; Camarodonta; Strongylocentrotidae. The record is from Rfam by way of RNAcentral.
AGCAUGGUAGCUCAGUGGUUAGAGCGCCCGCCUCAUGAACGGGAGGUCGUGGGUAUGUUCCCCGGCCGAGUCA